AGUGAACGCUGGCGGUAUGCCUAACACAUGCAAGUCGAACGGCAGCACAGUAAGAUCUUGCUCUUACGGGUGGCGAGUGGCGGACGGGUGACGAAUACAUCGGAAUCUACUUUUUCGUGGGGGAUAACGUAGGGAAACUUACGCUAAUACCGCAUACGACCUACGGGUGAAAGCAGUGGAUCUUCGGACCUUUCGCGAUUGAAUUAGCCGGUGUCGGAUUAGCUAGUUGGCAAGGUAAGGGCUGACCAAGGCAACGAUGCGUAGCCGAUCUGAGAGGGUGAUCGGCCACACGGGAACUGAGACACGGGCCAGACUCCGACGGGAGGCAGCAGGAGGGAAUCUGCCGCAAUGGGCGAAAGCCUGACGGAGCAACGCCGCGUGAGUGAUGAAGGUCUUCGGAUCGUAAAACUCUGUUAUUAGGGAAGAACAAAUGUGUAAGUAACUAUGCACGUCUUGACGGUACCUAAUCAGAAAGCCACGGCUAACUACGUG
Molecule: ribosomal RNA, 492 nt
Filed under: uncultured bacterium
Lineage: Bacteria
Description: partial 16S ribosomal RNA
Rfam family: Bacterial small subunit ribosomal RNA
Source: RNAcentral